GCCUGCGGAGCGGAGGAAGACAAACAUAAAGAUGAAGUGCUUAAUUCAAGGUCACACAAUGUCGGGGAUGGACCUCCAGAUUUCCUUACUGACCUGCAUUAUCUUGUGGAUACCUGAGUGAAUUCCACACCACCCAUUUUAUAGAUGAAACCACUGAGACAUGGAGCAAUUGACUGAGUAGUCACUGCCCCACCCCUGCCUGGAGCCUCACACAUGACUCGCCUCCUCUCAGUGACCACAGGUUGGUUGAGGGGUUUAACAAGGCUAAGAAGGUGAGACGUGGUCUUGUAACACAGUGGUUAAGAAUGUGACUUUGGAGCCAGCCUGCUAGGGGCUGAAUUCUGACUCAGCCAUUUACUAACUGUGUGACCUUAGGUGGAGUCUCACUCUGUAGCCCAAGCUGGAGUGGCGUGAUCUCGACUCACUGCAACCUCCGCCUCCUGGGAUCAAGUGAUUCUCGUGCCUCAGCCUCCUGAGUAGCCGGGACUACAGGUCACAGAAUUUUCCACACUCCUUGACAGAGGUGCUUAACCCUUAUCCAUCAGCAUUCUCAGACAGCACCUCCGGUUAGGGACAGUAUCUGACCGUCCGACAUCCCUGCAGCCCCCAUGUGUCACACAGACUCAGCCUCAGGUAGAUGGUUUCCGUA
Molecule: long non-coding RNA, 649 nt
Filed under: Homo sapiens (human)
Lineage: Eukaryota; Metazoa; Chordata; Mammalia; Primates; Hominidae
Description: non-protein coding PCBP1-AS1:244
Source: RNAcentral